CAGCACUUUUCUCAGAGACUCCAUGAAGUGCAUCGUGCUGCACCCAGAGCAGGGCUUCUUAACCUUGAUUGUGACCUGGCCCCUUCCCUGAGUCUGGGGAAGCCCCUGGAGGCCUCCGUAAAAGAACAGCAAAGAAAUUUUGAUGGCACCCCACACAAGUUAAAUAAUAUCAAGACCAACAAAAGAAACCAACUCACAGAUGAACAAUGAAGUCACUAAGCAGAAAGACAGCUGUCUGACCAUGCCUGUUCUCUCCUGGAUUAUUGGUCCUAAUCUUCAUCCUCAUCGAAGGCACUGGACCGGGCAUCCAGAUGGCCCAAGUUGGAAAGCUGCCUCAGACCCUCGGGAGCUGUGGAUUGGGAGAUGAAGCCAGGCUGCCUCUUGUGAUCACCCCUCCCAGACUGAUUUCUGACUCUGGACUUUACCACCAUGGAUCAACUGCCUUCUCACCUUAGAAGUUCCCUCCAUCUCUGAAGCCCCCUUCUCUCAUCUACAAAUGACGAUAUCCUAGAAUCAGAGAUUUCGAACUGGAAGUGACUGCAGAGGCCACUGAAUGCAACACUUUCGUUUUACAGAUGAGGAAACUGAGACAUACAGAAAGAAGUUAAGCAACUUAUCCUGGGUCACAAAGCUAGGAAGUAUCUAAGGUGGGAUAUGAAGAGAAAAUAAAAGUAUGGACACAUGGAUUGUGUGGACUUGU
Molecule: long non-coding RNA, 700 nt
Filed under: Monodelphis domestica (gray short-tailed opossum)
Lineage: Eukaryota; Metazoa; Chordata; Mammalia; Didelphimorphia; Didelphidae
Description: lncRNA (ENSMODG00000051388.1)
Source: RNAcentral